GACGAACGCUGGCGGCGUGCUUAACACAUGCAAGUCGAACGGAAAGGCCCUGCUUUUGUGGGGUGCUCGAGUGGCGAACGGGUGAGUAACACGUGAGUAUCCUGCCCUUGACUUUGGGAUAACUUCAGGAAACUGGGGCUAAUACCGGGUAGGAGAUCUUGCUGCAUGGUGGGGGUUGGAAAGUUUCGGCGGUUGGGGAUGGACUCGCGGCUUAUCAGCUUGUUGGUGGGGUAGUGGCUUACCAAGGCUUUGACGGGUAGCCGGCCUGAGAGGGUGACCGGCCACAUGGGUACUACGGUACGGACCAGUCGCCAACGGGAGGCAACAGGCGGAAGUAUGGCGCAGUGGGGGGAAGCGUGAGACAGCAGCGCCGCGUUCGUGAUGACCUCCUUCUGGUGGUAAACCGCUUUCUCCUGAGACGAAGCGGGAUUGACGGUAAUGAGUAAAGAAGCACCGGCUAACUACGUG
RNAcentral lists this ribosomal RNA (468 nucleotides) under uncultured bacterium. RNAcentral describes it as "partial 16S ribosomal RNA". It matches the Rfam family "Bacterial small subunit ribosomal RNA", at positions 28 to 507 of the family's 1533-position model. The record is from RNAcentral.